GUCUGCUUGGCUCAGUCAGUAGAGCAUGUGAUUCUUAAUCUCAGGGUCAUGAAUUCAAGCCCCACAUUGGACA
RNAcentral lists this transfer RNA (73 nucleotides) under Canis lupus familiaris (dog). It matches the Rfam family "tRNA". From Rfam's summary of the family: Transfer RNA (tRNA) molecules are approximately 80 nucleotides in length. Their secondary structure includes four short double-helical elements and three loops (D, anti-codon, and T loops). Further hydrogen bonds mediate the characteristic L-shaped molecular structure. tRNAs have two regions of fundamental functional importance: the anti-codon, which is responsible for specific mRNA codon recognition, and the 3' end, to which the tRNAs corresponding amino acid is attached (by aminoacyl-tRNA synthetases). tRNAs cope with the degeneracy of the genetic code in two manners: having more than one tRNA (with a specific anti-codon) for a particular amino acid; and 'wobble' base-pairing, i.e. permitting non-standard base-pairing at the 3rd anti-codon position. Lineage: Eukaryota; Metazoa; Chordata; Mammalia; Carnivora; Canidae. RNAcentral also lists the same sequence under 1 other name. The record is from Rfam by way of RNAcentral.